AAUUACUGUACUUGAUCCCAAAUUUUGCAGCUUAAAUACAUAUUACACCUCGAGUACCCAACCAUUCCACAAAAGAUAUUCUGAAAUUCCACCUGUGCCACCAAACAAACUCAGAUAUCAAUAGUCGAUCUAUCAAGAAAAUGUCGCAACACUACCGAAGUGCUAUCAACUUAAUCACAUUGCCCUUUUUCUGAAACAUAUACCCUCGUCAAAUCACUAUGAUUAGCAACACCAUUUCCUUGGUGAUAUGAGGACCAUUCACCCUAAUCAUCUGAAGAUCGAUUCUUAAAUCACCUGCAGCUGCCCGUGCUGCUUAAGAGUUUAAUGAAUUUCCAUUCCGAACUGAACCGAGCCUUACACACGCAAAUCUCAA
RNAcentral lists this long non-coding RNA (373 nucleotides) under Nicotiana benthamiana. RNAcentral's name for it is "long non-coding RNA (NBEN_LNC033364)". Lineage: Eukaryota; Viridiplantae; Streptophyta; Magnoliopsida; Solanales; Solanaceae. The record is from RNAcentral.